This 1134-nucleotide long non-coding RNA is filed under the name Mus pahari (shrew mouse). RNAcentral's name for it is "lncRNA (MGP_PahariEiJ_G0003674.1)". The record is from RNAcentral. Lineage: Eukaryota; Metazoa; Chordata; Mammalia; Rodentia; Muridae.
AGGACUAUCUGAAAGGGCUUUGACAGGAGCACCACUUUAGUGCCUGAGGCAUCUUUUGCUCUGUCUGACCAAUUUUUUAGCUCAAGAUUUUCUUCUCAGUUACGACAAAAAAAAAAAAAAAUGUCUAACCAAAGACUAUCUGUGCUUUCUCCCCUCCUGUACUUCUGCUUCUUCAGAGAGAGUUUCUCCAUUUGUGAUGGAACAACGUGGACCAAGGUCGGAUGGGAGAUUUUUCCAGAGGAAGUGCACUACCUGAAAGUUAAGGUUCCCCCAUCCAGCUGCCUGCCUUACCCCCUGAACAAACUCUGCUGCAACUCUGCUAACACGGACCUACUACAGAGUUCCUUACACCUCGCUUACAUCUUAGUUCAAGCUCUCUGCUUAAUCCUGUUUGCUUUAUCUGUGCAUUACCUAUGGAUGAAAUGGACAAGACACCAAAAAAAGCUGAAAAAGCAAGCCUCCUUAGAGAAACAUGCUAACAACCUAGACCUGAGCCCAUCCAUCCAUGACAUUGAACAAAUCCUCUGCAGACUACUGGCCACAACAUCAAUGAUGACCAAGUUCCUGAAGCAGAUGUCUCACCAUUCUUCUGUUAAGAAAGCUAAGCAACAACGUAAACUAAGGAAGAAGAAGAGUAAAGACGGAGAGGAACAGGAGAACGCUGCUAUCCCUAAGCUCGUGCAAAUGUAGCUUGGUCAAGUGCGGAGAGGACAAAAGAAAUCUAUUGCAGGGACUGUCUGAGGACACAAAGGUUUCUUUGAUGGCUUGCUCUUUUUUUUUGUCACAAUCAUUACAGAAAAUUUUUCAGACGAGCUCUGGGUUUCUGCUCAACUGAAAAAGAAUCCACUCUUACUAAUGUGGCUCCCAGAAUAAACUGAGAAGACCUUGACUGGAAUUUCAGGAUAUAAUCUGGUGGCAAGGAAACUAAAACUCAGCGAUGCUAAGAAACUUGGCUCAAGGAACACACCCAGUAAUGAUGGAUGUAAGAUACCAACCAACACUGACUCCUGAGCCCCUCCACAUCUGCUAAGAAUAACAGCAACCUGCACUUUGGAACAAUCAGCCUAUGAUUUUAAGGAAUGUUCAUCAAACUCUAAUUACCCUACCUUUAUUGUUAACACAGUUAUCAAAAGC